Molecule: long non-coding RNA, 2737 nt
Organism: Manis javanica (Malayan pangolin)
Lineage: Eukaryota; Metazoa; Chordata; Mammalia; Pholidota; Manidae
Source: RefSeq, a predicted model, not a curated record
CAGGGAAGCAUGGGGGUCAGUUACCUGGGCGAGGCCAGGGCCCACCUCACCCCACAACCUCCAAUUCCUAUUUCUUCUAUUCCCAGGACCCCGCCUACAGCAAGCCCCAUGAGGACCCCCAAGAUCCCCGCUCCCACUCGCUCUGGUUAAGCCCCUUUCAGUGUUUGCUGCCUUAGUUCCUGUCACGGGCAAGGGUCACAUCUCUUGUUUCUUCAGUGCCCCCACCUCAGUGAGCUGGCCCCACCAAGAGCCGCUGGUGGGACUUUCUGCUUCCUACGUGUGAAACGGUGAUCAUAUGGCAGGUACGGUGAGGGUGAAGGGGACUUGUCUGCCCCAGGCCCAGCGGGGAGCCGGCCUGCACCCGGGGUAGGUGCAGUGCAUAGCCCAGCGCCUUCCCUUGAGCUUUCUUUCCUUUCAUUCUUCCCUCCUUCCAUCCCUCCAUCCAUCUACCCAACCCAUCCAUCCAUCUGCCUGGCAAAAAAUUUUGGAGUGCCAACCACGUGCCAGGCAGUGUGUUAUCUAUCAAGCGCUUCCCGGUACCGGGCACCAGCCCCCUCAUGCAGGGCCUCAUUCAUCACCAGAGAGCCUGAAGACCAGGCCCAAGGUCACAUCCUGACAGGCACCAGAACUGAGGUCCACACCCAGGUCUGUGGGGUACUGAAGCCCUGGCCCCUACCAGCGCAUUGCAGGGACAGGCCAGAGAACUGUGGCUUCCAGUGAUGCGCUGUUCUUGACUUUUCCGGGUGGACACUCUGCUGAGUAUGUGGCGAGAGCUAGCAAUCUGCCCCCAGGAAGAUGUACUGAGCCGAACGCUCGCUCACAGGCCACCACAGACGCACACAUGCUCAUGCCUGAUUCUGCACUCACCCAGUCCCCGAGCUGUGCUGAAGGGACAUGGAAACCCUCGCUCAGGUCACCUGCCAGAGGUGGCCAGAGGAAGAAGCCCUACCUGGCACAGACCCACAGAGGAAGGCAGUCCUGCCCUCCCAGCCUGAAGGCAGGCUGCCAGGCAGCAGCAGAGACAGACCUUUCCCUGAAUCUGAUUGGAAGAAUUUGUCUGUCAAGUUUCUAUAGACUCGAACCAGCAAAGCCCUGAGAGCCGCUGCCAGCGAUGCAGAGGUGUUCCACACGUAGCCGUUUGGGCCGCAGCCCUGAUGUUCCACACGGAGAAGAACAUGCCAGCCUUACAGGUUCUCCCGGAAUCAAUGGGGCCAGGAACACUUGCAGGCUGCCACAGGGCCGGGCUGCCUCUCUCCAGGGACUAGAAGGAGGUAAAGAAGUCAGAUGAGGCCUGAAGCCUCACUGUGAAUCUGGAAAGGUGAUUGCCAGCUGGACCCUGCAGCCCAUGGAAGUGACAGGCCCAGAGUGCGGGCACACACAGCACGACGGGCCUUCAGGAGUACCGGGACUCCAGGGGCCAGCCCCCCUUCCUCAGGCCAAGCCUGUCUACCCCUGUGGGCCCUGGCCUGGCCUGGACAUCGGGGAGCAGGCAACACCUCGAUGAAGACCCCGGGCCUGCCCCUGGGGGCUUACCCGCUAUGUGAUAUUUGUGAGCCAGGGCUCUGAGCACAGGGAACCCUCCCUAGAGCAGCAUCCUCCUGUCUGUCCCCAUCCUGCCUGUCGCCCUUGUUGGGGAAGACUGUCUACCACCUGGUGGUGUCUGAUCCUUCCUUUCCAGUUCUUUUGAAUCUGUGGCCGCUUGAACUGUGGAUUUGAGAGCUGACUGGAGAGCGCACUUCCACUCCCCACCCAGGACCCCAUGCUGAGUCCCUGGAGGGAGGGAUUUGCAACCAAGGGACUUGUGUGGGAGGUGCCCACCCCCUGCACGACGCCCCCCUUCCGCAUGGAUAGCUCCAGAAUCCAGCCUCUCCUCCCCAGCCAGGGCCUGUGGGGCACCGCCCCCCUCGAGGGCUCCACAAGCCGUCCUGCCGCCCCUGCCACGGUGCCCGACUGGAGGAGUCCCAGGAAGGAAUCUGAGAUCAAUUUACAGGGUCAAGACAAGCCGUUAAAGCAGACAGAACAUGGAGCAUUUUGUGCGCAGUAAGGGCACUGUUUAUGACCUUCUGGCUUCAGUUAUAUUCAGACAACUGGGUUCAGACAGGGUCAAGCUAUAGCGUGCAUCCCUUAACUCACCACCGUCACAAAAAAAAAUGCAGCUAGCGCCUGGCCUGGAGGGUCCAUUCUGGUCUCUGGGCCCUGCGCACCGGCCUGGCUCAGCUGCCUUCCAGCCCUGACUCACUCCCCCAGGACCUGCCAGGCUCCUGAGCUUUGCCCAUGCUACUCCCACCACUCAGAAUGCCCUCCUGUGCCCUUCCUCUUCCCAGGCUGUGGUCCUGAGGCAGGCACAGCCAGUGUCCAAAGAGGGCCAGCCAGCAUCCCUCCCUUACUGCAGCAAUGACAAGCCCCCACCCCCAGAAUCUGGCAUCUUCCCCACGCUCCCUCCCUCUCUCCCGACUCUCUCCAGUUGCCAGGGCUCCCUGGUCCACCUCACCCACCAGCUGCUGGGACAGGCCUUGGCUGCAGCUUCCCCUCUGCCUGGAACUCAAUCUCUCUAGGGCACCAAGCAUCAGCCAAGGGUGUGAGAGCCCAGACAGGCUGAUCAAAGGCAUCCACUCCAACUUGGGUCGAUUUUAAAGAAAAUUACUUUGAUUCCCCGGCUACAGAAGAAAGCAGUUCCCACGGUCUUUAUUUUAGGCAUGGAGUUUUGCCCUCCAAUUUAACCGGCAUCUCCCAGAGC